Molecule: non-coding RNA, 10167 nt
Organism: Aegilops tauschii subsp. strangulata
Lineage: Eukaryota; Viridiplantae; Streptophyta; Magnoliopsida; Poales; Poaceae
Source: RefSeq, a predicted model, not a curated record
GUUUAUCCAUAUUAUCUUAUUUGUUAUUGCUUGAUCGUAAACUUUAUAUAUUGCUUGAUUAUCCUGGUUGUGCUGCUCAUGUGUGGCUUGUGUGGUCGCCCCAAUGCAGGUUUAAAUCGGCGUGUAAGUGACGGCGUAUUUCUCCUUCACGCCUUCGACGUCGACCCCCCUCCCCCUGGUGCAAUGCUAUUUAAUCAGGCAGACCCGUUCUGGCCCACAAUACCAUUUCUCUUUUCUAAAAUCCAGGAAAUCAUUAUCUUUCGAAAGAUUCAAGGACGUUCGAGGAGUGACCAGAACCAUCGAAGACUUUGCUGAGCGAGGCAAGCAACCUACUUUGAUCAAGUUGAACCCAUAUUUGCAUCACACUUAGAAUUCUUUUUCAUGCAUAAAGUAUUGUUUACUAGUAUUGCUAUGUUAAGUAAAUUUGCUAGGGUUUAGCUAUGCCCCCUAUGUGCUUGAUAUUGACACCCCUUUGACAUUCUUAUGCUAAGUAAAUUACCUAGGGUUUAGCUAUGCUCUAUGUGCUUGAUAUUGACACCCUCCUUUGACAUUCUUAAUACCCCUCCUUUAUAACCAUGUAGUGGUCACAAAUAAAUGUGGGUCAUAUGUGCAAUUUUAAUAGUAAUGCUUAGCCAUGCUAGUCGCAUAAAUCAUAGGACUUGGGAAGAAUCUUUGUUACUCAUAAAUGUUUUACAAAAACCCAAGGGUGUCACUAAUGCCCAUGGGAUGAUUCUGAAAAUAAGGUUUUACAAAAUGAAGAUGAAGUGGAGAUUUAGUUAGGUGAUUGUGAUCUUGACGAGAUAAUCAAAGACAUUUGAUGGAUCAUGAAAAUUUAUGUCUAGUAAAUGAGCAUGGUGGUUAUUAUAUUGGCGAAUAAAUGGAUCUUCAAUAAACUUGAAGCAAUUUGGAUUUAGUUAGGCGAUUAUGAUCUUGAACCAAUUUUUAUGGUGGAUUAUGAGAUUUUGAUGCAUUUAUUUAGUUCAUUGUGAUCUCGAGGAGAAGUCAAAGAUGUUCGGUGGAUUAAUUAAUCUUGGACAAUUUGAAUUUAGUUAGGUGAUUGUGAUAUUGAACCGUAUUUUAUGAUGGAUUACGAGAUUUUUUGUGGAUUUAGUUAUGUGAUUUUAGGGGGAUUUAGUUACGUGAUUUAAUCUUAAGAAGAUAGUCUAAAAUGUUUGGUUGAUUAUGAGAGUUUAGGUAUGGUAGAGGAGCAUGGUGAUUUAUUGGUGGAUAAAUAGAUCUUUAAUUUUGUUUGGAACAUUUCGGGUUUGGUUAGGUGAUUGUGAUCUUAAACCAAAUUUCACGGUAGAUUAUGAGGUUUUGGUUCGAUUUAGAUAGGUGAUUGUGACCUUGACGAGCUAGUAAAAGAUGUUUGGUCAAUUAUGUGAAUUUAGGUCUAGUAGGUGAGCAUGGUGGUAAUUAUAUCGGUUAAGUAAGUAUUUUUUUAAUAAACUUGGAUUUAGAUAGGCGAUUGUGAUCUUGAACCAAAUUUCGUGGUGGAUUACGAGAUUUCGGUUAAGUAAGUAUUUUUUUUAAUAAACUUGGAUUUACAUAGGCGAUUGUGAUGUUGAACCAAAUUUCGUGGUGGAUUACGAGAUUUUAGAAGGAUUUGGUCAGUUGAUUGUGAUCUCGAGGAGAUACUCAAAGAUAUUAGAUCAGUUAAUUAACCCUGAACAAUUUGAAUUUAGUUAGGCUAUUGUGAUAUUGAACCGAAUCUCACGAUGAUUUAUGUGAUUUUAGGUGAAUUUAGUUAAGUUAUUAUGAUCUUGAGAAGAUGGUCAAAGAUAUUUGGUGGAUUUUAAGAUUUUAGGUCUAGUACGUGAGCAUGGGGUGACUAUUAUACUGGUGGAUAAAUAGACCUUUAAUUUAGAUUGAAACAAUUUGAAUUUAGUUAGAUGAUUGUGAUCUUUUAAGCAAAUUCACUGUGUUGAUGUUUGGGUUAGAUUUAGUUACGUGAUUGUGUCGUGACGAGGUAGUCAAAGAGGUUUGAUGGAUUAUGUGAGCAUUUAUGCCUAGUAAGUAAGUAUGGUGGUUAUUAUAUUAGUGGAUAAAUGAGUUUUUAGUAAACUUGAAGUAAUUUGGAUUUAGUUAGGCGAUUGUAAUCUCGAACCAAAUUUUAUGGUGAAUUACAAGAUUGUAAAUGGAUUUAACUAGUUGCUUGAGAUCUUGAGGGGAUAGUUCAAGAUGUUCAGUGGAUUAACUAAUCUUUUUUUUUGAACACAAUACAGACGCAACCGCUCAUAUAAACGCGCAUACACGCACACCCUAUCCCUAUGAGCACCUUGGAGAGACUGAACCGACAUACCAUCUUGAUAUUUUACGAAGUUACCGUAGAUGCCUCGUAGUCAACGGGAACAAUUUUGAUUUAGUUUGGUGAUUAUGAUAUUGAACCAAAUUUCUCGGUGAUUUAUUUGAUUUUAGGUUGAUUUAGUUAGGUGAUUGUGUCUUGAGAAGAUAGUCAAAAUAUUCAGUAGAUUAUGAGAUUUUAGGCAUGGUAAAUGAACAUGGUGAUUAUUAUAUUGGUAGAUAAACAUAUUUAAUUAGUUUGGAUCAGUUUGGAUUUAGGUAGGUGAUCGUGAUUUUUUAAUCAAAUUUUACGGUAGAUUAUGAGGUUUUGGUUGGAUUUAGUUAGAUGAUUGGGAUCUUGACGAGCUAGUAAAAGAUGUUUGGUAGAUUAUGUGAAAUUAGGUCUGGUAGGUGAGCAUGUUGGUUAUUAUAUCGGUGGAUAAAUGGAUUUUUGGUAAACUUGAAAAAAAAAUUGGAUUUAGUUAGGCGAUUAUGAUCCUGAACCAAAUUUUAUGGUCGAUUAUCAGAUUUUUGAUGGAUUAGUUAGUUGAUUGUAAUCUUGAGGAGAUAAUCAAAGAUAUUCGAUGUAUUAUUUAAUCUUGACCAAGUUGGAUUUAGUUACGUUAUUUUGAUAUUGAACUAAAUUUCUCUGUAAUUUAUGAGAUUUUAGUUGGAUUUUGGUUAGGUGAUUGUGUCUUGAGAAGAUAAUCAAAGUUGUUUGGUGGAUUAUUAUAUGUUAGAUCUAAUAAAUGAGCAUGGUGAUUAUUAUAUUGGUGGAUAAACAUAUAUUUAAUUUAGUUUGAAACAAUUUGGAUUUAGUUCGGUGAUUGUGAUCUUUUAACCUAAUUUACAGUGGAUUAUAAGGUUUGGGUUGGAUUUAGUUAGGGGAUUGUGAUUUUGACGAGCUAGUAAAAGAUGUUCGAUGAGUUAUGAAUUUAGGUCUAGUAGGUUAGCAUGUUGAUUAUUAUUUUGGUGGAUAGAGAUGAUGCCCACAUAAGUGACUCAAGGCGAUGAUGCCACUACGGAAAAUAACUGAUAAACAAGGCAAUAAAGGAGAGACUGGGGUAGUGGCAGCAGUUGGACUUUGAUCCAGCAUUCCACGUGCAUGUGCACUCUCUGUUCCCGCUGAUUCGGCUUGGUGUCCUUGUCUUGUUUGUGGAUUUUGUGUCACGCACUUGAUCAAGCACCCCACGUUCUCCUAAUGUGCGCCCUUGGCCUUGACGAUAGGUAGUGUCGUGUUCUCAGGCACGUCUCGUGGGUAAAAUUCAGGUAUGCGUCGAUUGUCUAAGCUCUUGCUCGCCAUUGGUGGUGCUUGAGCGUGCGGUUAUGGUGUCGCCCAGCAAGGAAACACGGGAUGUGGGAUCAAGACAGCACACAUGGUAAUCCGCCACCAGGCAAUGGACGCCCGUCCGAACUUAAGAGGGAGCGAAGGUGGACACAAAGGUGGAUGUUGAGCUCCAUAGCAGUCAACAUUGUGCUCAUCAGUAAGAGCAGCACGAGCAAGAAGAUCUUGGAUAUACUCCCCUUAGGAAAUAAAGAAGCCAUUACAGGUAGAAGAAACCUCAAUCUCAAGGAAGUUGUGACUUCUUUAGUAAAAAUGGAGCAAUUUGGAUUUAGUUAGGUGAUUGUGAUCUUGAACAAAUUUCAUGGUGAAUUACGAGAUUUUUCAAUGGAUUUAGUUGAUUGUGAUCCUGAGGAGAUAGUUAAAGUUGUUCGGUGUAUUAAUUAAUCUUGAACAAUAUGGAUUCAGUUGGGUGAUUGUGUCAUUGAACCAAAUUUCUCUGUGAUUUAUGAGAUUUUAGUUGGAUUUAGUUGGGUGAUGGUGUUUGAGAUCAUAAUCAAAGAUGUUUCGUGGAUCAUGAGAUUUUAGGUCUAGUAGAUAAGCAUGGUGAUUAUUAUAUUGGUGAAUAAAUAGAUAUUUAAUUUAGUUUGAACAAUCUGAAUUUAAUUAGGUGAUUGUGAUCUUUUAACCUAAUUUUACGGUGGAUUAUAAGCUUCUUGUUUGAUUUAGUUAGGUGAUUGUGAUUUUGACGAGCUAGUAAAAGAUGUUCGAUGAAUUUAGGUCUAGUAGGUGAGCAUGCUGAUUAUUAUAUUGGUGCAUAAAUGAGUCUAAUAAAUUUCGAACAAUUUUAAUUUAGUUAGGCUAUUGUGAUAUUGAACCGAAUUUCAAGGUGAUUUAUGUGAAUUUAGGUGGAUUUAGUUAAGUUAUUAUGAUCUUGAGAAGAUGGUCAAAUAUGUUUGGUGGAUUUGAAGAUUUUAGGUCUAGUACGUGAGCAUGGUGACUAUUAUACUGGUGGAUAAACAUACCUUUAAUUUAGUUUGAAACAGUUUCAUGGUGAAUUACGAGAUUUUAAAUGGUUUUAAUUAGUUGCUUGAGAUCUUAGAGAUAGUCCAAGAUGUUUGAUGGAUUAACUAAUCUUUUUUUUGAACACAGUCCAGACGCAAGCGCUCAUAUAAACGUGCUACACUCAUCCAUAUGAACGCACACACGCACACUCUACCCCUAUGAGCACCUUCGAGAGACUGAGCCGGCAUACCAUCUUGAUAUUUUACGAAGUUACCGUAGACACCUCGUAGUGGACGGGAACAAUUUGAAUUUAGUUCGGUAAUUGAGAUAUUGAACCAAAUUUCUCGGUGAUUUAUUUGAUUUUAGGUGGAUUCAGAAAGGUGAUUGUGUCUUGAGAAGAUAGUCAAAAUAUUCAGUGGAGUAUGAGAUUUUAGGUAUGGUAAAUGAACAUGGUGAUUAUUAUAUUGGUAGAUAAACAUAUAUUUAAUUUAGUUUGGAUUUAGGUAGGUGAUUGUGAUCUUUUAAUCAAAUUUUACGGUGGAUUAUGAGGUUUUGGUUGGAUUUAGUUAGGUGAUUGGGAUCUUGACGUGCUAGUAAAAGAUGUUUGGUAGAUUAUGUGAACUUAGGUCUGCUCAGUGAGGAUGUUGGUGGAUAAAUGGAUCUUUAGUAAACUUGAAAAAAUUGGAUUUAGUUAGGCGAUUGUGAUCCUGAAUCAAAUUUUGUGGUGGAUUAUCAGAUUUUUGAUGGAUUAGUUAGUUGAUUGUGAUCUUGAGGAGAUAGUCAAAGAUAUUCGAUGUAUUAAUUAAUCUUGACCAAUUUGGAUUUAGUUAGGUGAUUGUGAUAUUGAACUAAAUUUCUCUGUGAUUUAUGAGAUUUUAGUUGGAUUUAGUUAGGUGAUUGUGUCUUGAGAAGAUAAUCAAAGAUGUUUAAUGGAUUAUGAGAUUUUAGAUCUAAUAAAUGAGCAUGGUGAUUAUUAUAUUGGUGGAUAAACCAAUAUUUAAUUUAGAUGAAACAAUCUGAAUUUAGUUCGGUGAUUGUGAUCUUUUAACCUAAUUUUACGAUGGAUUAUAAGAUUUGGGUUGAAUUUAGUUAGGUGAUUGUGAUUUUAACGAGCUAGUAAAAGAUGUUCGAUGGACUAAGUGAAUUUAGGUCUAGUAGGUGAGCAUGUUGAUUAUUAUAUUGGUGGAUAGAGAUGAGGGCCACACAAGUGACUCAAGGUGACGAUGCCACUACUGAAAAUAACUGGUAAACAAGGCAACAGAGGAGAGACUGAGGGUAGUGGCAGCAGAUGGAUUUUGAUCUAGCAUCCCACGUGCCUGUGCACUCUUCGUUCCCCGCUGAUCCGGCUUGGUGUCCUUGUCCUGUUUGCGGAUUUUGUGUCACGCACUUGAUUAAGCAUCCCACGUUCUCCUAAUGUGCGCCCUUGGCCUUGACGAUAGGUAGCGCCGUGUUCUCGGGCACGUCCCGUGGGUAAAAUUCAGGUACGCGUCGAUUGUCUAAGCUCUUGCUCGCCAUUGGUGGUGCUUGAGCGUGCGGUUAUGGUGUCGCCCAGUAAGGGAACACGGGAUGUGGGAUCAAGACAGCACACAUGGCAAUCCGCCACCAGGCAACGGACGCCCGUCCGGACUUACAGGGAGCAAAGGUGGACACAAAGGUGGAUGUUGAGCUCCAUAGCAGUCUCAACAGUGUGCUCAUCAGUAAGAGCAGCACGAGCAAGAAGAUCCUGGAUAUACUCCUCUUAGGAAAUAAAGAAGCCAUUAGAGAUAGAAGAAACCUCAAUCUCAAGGAAGUUGUGACUUCUUUAGUAAACAUGGAGCAAUUUGGAUUUAGUUAGGCGAUUGUGAUCUUGAACAAAUUUCAUGGUGAAUUACGAGAUUUUUCAAUGGAUUUUGGAUUUAGUUAGGCGAUUGUGAUCUUGAACAAAUUUCAUGUUGAAUUAUGAGAUUUUCAAUGGAUUUAGUUGAUUGUGAUCCUGAAGAGAUAGUUAAAGAUGUUCGGUGUAUUAAUUAAUCUUGAACAAUAUGGAUUUAGUUGGUGAUUGUGUCAUUGAAUCAAAUUUUUCUGUGAUUUAUGAUAUUUUAGUUGGAUUUAGUUAGGUGAUCAUGUCUUGAGAUGAUAAUCAAAGAUGUUUCGUGGAUUAUGAGAUUUGAGGUCUAGUAGAUGAGCAUGGUGAUUAUUAUAUGGGUGGAUAAACAGAUAUUGAAUUUAGUUUGGAACAAUUUGAAUUUAGUCAGAUGAUUGUGAUCUUUUAACCUAAAUUUACGGUGGAUUACAAGGUUCUGGUUGGAUUUAGUUAGGUGAUUGUGAUUUUGACGAGCUAGUAAAAGAUGUUCGGUGAAUUAUGUGAAUGUAGGUCUAGUAGGUGAGCAUGUUGAUUGUUAUAUUGGUGCAUAAAUGAAUCUUUAAUAAAUUUAGAACAAUUUAGAUUUAGUUAGGCGAUUGUGACCUUGAACCAAAUUUUAUGGUGGAUUAUGAGAUUUUUGAUGGAUUAAUAGUUGAUCGUGAUCUUGAGAAGAUAGUCAAAGAUGUUUGGUGGAUUAAUUAAUCUUGAACAAUUUGGAUUUAGUUAGGUGGUUGAUCAACUCAAUCGAAUUUCACGCUAGAUUAUGAGAUUUUUGGUGGAUUUAGUUAGAUGAUUGUGUCUUGAGAAUAUAGUCAAAGAUGUUUGCUGGACUAUGAGAUUUUAGGUUUAGUAGAAGAGAAUGGUGAUUAUUAUAUUGGUUGAUAAACGGAUCUUUAAUUUAGUUUGGGACAAUUUUGAUUUGGUUACGUGAUUGCUAUUUUUCAACCAAUUUUAGGUAGAUUUUGAGGUUUUGUUGAUUUAUUUAGGUGACUGUGAUCUCGACGAGUUAGUCAAAGAUGUUUGGUGAAUUAUGUUAAUUUAGGUCUAGUAAUUAAUUGAGCAUGGUGGUUAUUACAUCGGUGGAUAAAUGGGCCUUUAGUAAACAUGGAGCAAUUUGGAUGUAGUUAGGUGAUUGUGAUCUUAAACAAAUUUCACGGUGGAUUACGAGAUUUUUAAUAGAUUUAGUUUGUAGAUUGUGAUCUGAAUAAUUUGAAUUUAGUUGGCUGAUUACGAUAUUGAACCAAAUUUCUCUGUGAUUUAUGAGAUUUUAGUUAGAUUUAGUUAGGUGAUUGUGUUUUGGGUUGAUAAUCAAAAAUGUUUUGUGGAUUAUGAGAUUUGAGGUUUAGUAGAUGAGCAUGGUGAUUACUAUAUUGAUGGAUGAACAGAUAUUUUAUUUAGUUUGAAACAAUUUGGAUUUAGUUAGGUGAUUGUGAUCUUUUGACCAAAUUUUACGGUGGAUUAUGAGGUUUUUGUUGGAUUUAGUUAGAUGAUUGCGAUCUUGAUGAGCUAGUAAAAGAUGUUCGGUAGAUUAUGCGAAUUUAGGUCUAGUAAGUGAGCUUGUUGGUUGUUAUAUUGGUGGAUAAAUAAUUUUGUAAUAAACUUGAUUUUUGGGAUUUAGUUAGGCGAUUGUGAUCUUGAACCAAAUUUUAUGUUGGAUUAUGAGAUUUUUAAUGGAUUAGUUACUUGAUUGUGAUCUUGAGGAGAUAGUCAGAGAUAUUCGGUCUAUUAAUUAAUCUGGAACAAUUUGAAUUUAGUUAGGUGAUUGUGAUAUUGAACCAAAUUUCUCUGUGAUUUAUGAGAUUUAAGUUGGAUUUAGUUAGGUGAUUGUGUCUUGAGAAGAUAGUCAAUGAUUUUUGGUGGACUGAGAUUUUAGGUCUAAUAGAUGAGCUUGGUAUUAUUAUAUUGGUGCAUAAACUGAUCUUUGAUAUAUUGGUGCAUAAAUGGAUCUUUAAUCAACCAAGGUUCCUUAUCUUGCUGUUUUUUAAAGUCAAACAACUGAUAAUGAAGUUUAUCAGUAUGUAGUAAUGGGUAUAAAUGUUUUCUCAUACUCAUGUAGUCCGUUCAUUCAUAAACUAUAUGUUCUUUUGUUAAAACCUUGAUUAAGAUGUUAGGGUAAAUAAAUUCCUUCAGAAUUAAUAAUAGAAAAGUUUUGCUUUGCAAUAAGAUACAGUUGUAUGCAAAAAAUAAUCUUGUCUUAUAUAGUUAUAUCAAAACUAUGGAUUUUCCAUGCACUUCCUGCAAUCAUUAAUGUUCAUUGUCUUUGUUGGGAUUUUGUUGGGCACCUGCGGCAACGCGCUGUCGGGCACGACGGACGCUGCCAAGGUCCGCGGCGACAUCGUGCUCACGGAGCCUGACCUCUGCAUGAUGAACUACACGUGGUAACAAUGCAGCAACAAAUCCAAUAGUAGCUUUGUUCUUCUGGCAUUAUUCAUGGUUCUCAUCAUAGCCAUACUGAAUGAUGGCAAGUGACAUCUCUGAAUUUAUCAUAUGAAUUAUGACUUUAUGAGCUUGCCUGGCUACUGACCUGCUGUGUGGGAAGGGCAUCCUUUUACCAGAGCUAUGGAUUUUAAUAUGCUCCGUUUCCUUCAGGUUUUCUGAAUAUACUCGCAAGUUGCAACCAUGGCCUUACAGUGCUACACGCCUCUUCUGAAGCCCCAACUGGCCCAAGUUUCAGUUAACCCUUCCAUUAACACGAUACAGAUUCCAGGGCCUUACAGAGUCAGUGCUCCGCCCCUCUGCUGAAGCCCUAACUGGCCCAAGUCUCGGCCAGCCCUUCUCUAAAUCGAUGCAGAUUGCAGUGUAUGUUCGAGGAGUAGCAGAUUUUACGGAUCUUUAUUUUUUUUGUGUCGUUGCUUCAUCAAAUGGAAAUUUAAGUACCGGGAGAUUCGUCAAAUGAAAAUUUAAACCAGUUUAUGAUUUGUUUGGCCAACGUACCUGGUGUCGAUGUGGAGGAAAAGACCUUAGCAGGACUAUUGACCGUCGCCUUGCAACUCAAUUUCUUGAGAAGUGUCUCGGCCUCAGACAUGACACUUGAGAAUUCAGAUUUUUUGUAGCGCAGAACCCAUUAGCUCCUAUCUUUGUGCUAGCUAAACUUGAAUUAUUUGUGUACUGAAUUUUUAUGUGCCUGUGGGGUCUUGCUUGAAUCUUUGUUAUGUCCUAAACACGACAGUUUCGGAGACCGCACUUGACCUCAUGAUCUGAUGGCUGUCCUGCCGAACUCUCUGCGCGCUCGAGCUCGAUCGCCGGCUAUCCUCUUGUGAGUUGUGAUGGCCCCUUCGAUGCAUACCCCCAAGGGUAACCCGACCGGCAUUCAACCGGGAGGAAGUGAGGUCGUUCAACUCUGGGCUACGCCUUGAAAAACAAUCUUCGGGCUAUGCGGGGCGGCGACCAUGGAUGGGGCUCCAGGUCGAGGAGACAGAAACAUGGCCCUCGGCAAACCAAAUCACGUCAGGCAAGCGCGCCGCCCGGCUUUGCCCUCACCGUCGGCCAUCCUGGCCUGCUGCCACUACAGCGCCACGGCACGUCACGUGCCUCCUGCUCCAUGAGACGCUUGCUGUUUUCUUCUUCUUUUCCUUCAACAGUGAUCACGUUUAAAUGAGUGUAGACAUUGUGCCGCGUCGCACCAGACAAAGAGGUGUACACUGCGGACGCGUCCGCAAGUUUUGACUGCUUGCUAUGGCUGGGGGCACAUGCGGACGUCCGCAUCUUCAUGUUUAGCUGAUUUGCGUAAUGCUAAAUACAAUUACAAGUUUUA